Small nuclear RNA from Cavia porcellus (domestic guinea pig), 101 nucleotides. NCBI's taxonomy places the organism in Eukaryota, Metazoa, Chordata, Mammalia, Rodentia, Caviidae. The record is from Ensembl.
UUAUAAGUUAUAGUGCUUGCUAAAUUGGAAUGAUACCGAGAAGAUUAGCAUGGACCCUGUGCAAGGAUGACACGCAAAUUUGUGAAGUGUUCCACAUUGAA